RNAcentral lists this ribosomal RNA (470 nucleotides) under uncultured Methanomethylovorans sp. RNAcentral describes it as "bacterial SSU rRNA". It matches the Rfam family "Archaeal small subunit ribosomal RNA", at positions 871 to 1337 of the family's 1478-position model. The record is from RNAcentral. Lineage: Archaea; Methanobacteriati; Methanobacteriota; Methanomicrobia; Methanosarcinales; Methanosarcinaceae.
GACGGGGAGCACUACAACGGGUGGAGCCUGCGGUUUAAUUGGACUCAACGCCGGAAAACUCACCGGGGCGACAGCAAUAUGUAGGUCAAGCUAAAGACUUUAUCAGAAUCGCUGAGAGGAGGUGCAUGGCCGUCGUCAGUUCGUACUGUGAAGCAUCCUGUUAAGUCAGGCAACGAGCGAGACCCGUGCCCACUGUUGCCAGCAUGUCCUUCGGGAUGAUGGGUACUCUGUGGGGACCGCCGAUGCUAAAUCGGAGGAAGGUGCGGGCUACGGUAGGUCAGUAUGCCCCGAAUCUCCCGGGCUACACGCGGGCUACAAUGACUGGGACAAUGGGCUCCUACCCCGAAAGGGGAUGGUAAUCUCAUAAACCCAGCCUUAGUUCGGAUCGAGGGCUGUAACCCGCCCUCGUGAAGCUGGAAUCCGUAGUAAUCGCGUUUCAACAUAGCGCGGUGAAUACGUCCCUGCUCCUU